Molecule: long non-coding RNA, 2822 nt
Organism: Dama dama (fallow deer)
Lineage: Eukaryota; Metazoa; Chordata; Mammalia; Artiodactyla; Cervidae
Exons: 5
Source: RefSeq, a predicted model, not a curated record
UGACCAGAGAUUCAACUCUCACCUCAUGUGCUGGGAGGUGGUCUCAACCACUGGGCCACUGGGGAAGUCCCCAGGUUUUCAAAAGAGGCCAGACUGCCGGAUUUUGGUGUGAAGCUAUGCCAUUUGCGAAACACAGUGUAUAUUUUGAAUAGAUUCUGUUCCGGGUUUUUGAACACCUAAAAAUAAAACCUAUUCUUUGAGUCAAAAACAAUGGUACAGUUUUGAGAUUUGUCUGAGCUGCCACCAGGGGGUAGGGAAGAGACAUCACAGAGCAUCACAAGUGGUGGAAGAAAGAACAAAUGUCACGGGACACUCUCUUCUGAAUCUGGCCCAUUUAAUGCACCAGGAUUUUACUCUGCCACCAUGCUGAACUCAGGAGAGGCCAUUUGACUUGCUGCGGCCAGUGAGAUGUGUGCACAAGGGACAGGUGUCACUUCUGGGCAGAAGCACUAAGAAUCGGUGUCUGACAUCUGAAGAGGUUUCAAGCUGGACGAUUUUUCAGGAGCACCUCUGCCUAAUCCUGGAUCUUAGUUCCUCAACACGGGAUCCUCAAACUUGUGCCCCUGCAGUGGUAGCAUGGAGUCCUAACCACUGGACCACCAGGGAUGUCCCUGGGCUUCCAUUUUGGAGGCUUCUGCAAUGACUUCAGUUUCAGCACUGACAUAUCCCUUCCAUGGUUACAGACCCCAAGGAGUUGCUCUUCCACCUGCCCAGCUUCUCAUACCUUCUGAGCUCAGAUCAAGCUUGAGACAAGUUACCCAGCAUCUAGACUGAAAGGACAUGAGUUUGAGCAAACUCCGGGACAUACUGAAGGACAAGGAAGCCUGGCAUGCUGUAGUCCAUGUGGUUGCAGAGUUGGACAUGACUUAGCGACUAAAGAACAACAAGAUUGAAAGGAAACAGUAUACUUACAAAACUACAUCCCAAAUAGUUUAUUCUUGGUCAUUGGUUGAGGCUACAUUCUGGCUCUCACUUUGAAGUGGGGGUAAUAUUCAAAAUGCAUACUUAAUGACCAGUUGUCUUGGCACCAUGAUGGAGUGGGGAACUGACUAAUUGCUAGGUCAAACCAGUGCACAUAGGCUGAAUAUAAGAUUGGACAGGGGUCCCAAACAGGCAGACCUCUGGGCCAUGUUGCCAGUGUAUGAGUUUUGUUAGUUAUGCAGCAUGAUUUUGUACUCUGUUUCUGAGCCUUUAGGCCUUUAGAGCGCAUGUCCUCUUGCAUUUCCAGUCACGAAAUUAAAAGACACUUGUUCCUUGGAAGAAAAUUUAUGACCAACCUAGACAGCAUAUUAAAAAGCAGAGACAUUACUUUGCCAAUAAACCUCCAUCUAGUAAAAGCUAUGGUUUUUCCAGUAGUCACGUAUGGAUAUGAGAGUUGGACUAUAAAGAAAGCUAAGUGCCGAAGAAUUGAUGGUUUUGAACUCUGGUGUUGGAGAAGACUCUUGAGAGUCCCUUGGACAGCAAGGAGAUCCAACCAGUCCAUCCUAAAGGAAAUCAGUCAUGCAUAUUCAUUGAGAGGACUGAUGCUGAGGCUGAAACUCCAAUGCUUUGGCUAUCUAAUGCGAAGAACUGACUCAUUGGAAAAGACCCUGAUGCUGGGGAAGAUUGAAGGCAUGAGAAGAAGGGGACGACAGAGGAUGAGAUGGUUGGAUGGCAUCACUGACCCAAUGGACCUGAGUUUGAGUAAACCUUGGGAGUUGGUGAUGGACAGGGAGGCCUGGCGUGCUGCAGUCCAUGGGGUUGUAAAGAGUCGGAUACGACUGAGCGACUGAACUGAACUGAUCUUGUCUCAUGUCUUAGAACUUACUGGCUUUGCUGGUUUGUCUUACCUCUGCUUCCUGGAAACCAUCUGCCUGUGCCAGACUAUUUUUCAAACCUUUCUUUGAGGUCCCAUAUUUAUCCCGGGGUGGUUCACUUUGAUUUGUCUCUUAAAAGAUCCCAGAUUAUUAUGACCUGGACAGGUCCUCAUAUAGGUGGGAAUUGUAGGACCUCCUCGACUGCUGGGCCUAAAUUUCCACAGAGGUAGGCAUCCCAUUCUGAAUCUGAACUACAUCAAUAUUACAGCUACUCAUUAAAUUGUAAUUGACUUGGAAAGGAGAAACUAAACAUAGAAACAGACAAUGGCCAGGCCCUAUGUAAAAAUAGAAUUCUGACCCACAGCCUACAACAAACUCACCCAGGAAACCAACCCCUUUAUUGACAAUAAACCGUUCAGGAAGCCAGCCUGUCAUACGUCAGACUGCUGACUUGUUUGAAGUCAGACUACUAUUUCUAAUAACAAUCUAGGGAGCAUUCCGUGUGGUCAGACUCCAGUCUUCACUGCUGAGGCCUCAGGUUCAAUCUCCAGUCAGGGAACUAAAAUCCCACAAGAUGCAAGGCCAAAAAAACCCACAAACAAACUCACAAACCCACAACAAAACAAAAGGCAAGACAAACAAAAAACCCAAAAGAAACAAUCUAGAAGGUUACACAGUAAUUUUUGUAACAGUCGACCCCAAAUGACCAGAAUUGUAUUAAAAACAGCUUCCCAAAUUUUUGUCCCACUUCCAACUGAGGGUCAGUCAGAAAAAGCCAAAUAUGUACCCUUAACCGUUCAUGGAAGAGACCCUGCUGUGAUUUAGCCCUCCUCCAGCUUUCCUGGGCCCAGAGCCUCUAGUCAGAGCACACCUGAAGCCUCUCUAUUUUGUACCAUCAAGUUUCCUACUUCCCUGCCUGCCUUUGCAUCCUUGCCAAGAUGCCAGGGACAGUGGUCGGACUCACUGCUUAUCCAAGUUCUGAAUAAAUAGCCCUUCAUUGUUCUCAUUUGAUUGGUCUUUGUUUAU